Molecule: ribosomal RNA, 760 nt
Filed under: uncultured bacterium
Lineage: Bacteria
Description: bacterial SSU rRNA
Rfam family: Bacterial small subunit ribosomal RNA
Source: RNAcentral
GAUGAACGCUAGCUCCAUGUUGUUAACACAUGCAAGUCGAGGGGCAUCGGGAAGAAAGCUUGCUUUCUUUGCCGGCGACCGGCGCACGGGUGAGUAACACGUAUCCAACCUGCCCUUUACUCGGGGAUAGCCUUUCGAAAGAAAGAUUAAUACCCGAUAGCAUAAUGAUUCCGCAUGGUUUCAUUAUUAAAGGAUUCCGGUAAAGGAUGGGGAUGCGUUCCAUUAGGUUGUUGGUGGGGUAACGGCCCACCAAGCCUUCGAUGGAUAGGGGUUCUGAGAGGAAGGUCCCCCACAUUGGAACUGAGACACGGUCCAAACUCCUACGGGAGGCAGCAGUGAGGAAUAUUGGUCAAUGGGCGCUAGCCUGAACCAGCCAAGUAGCGUGAAGGAUGAAGGCUCUAUGGGUCGUAAACUUCUUUUAUAUAAGAAUAAAGUGCAGUAUGUAUACUGUUUUGUAUGUAUUAUAUGAAUAAGGAUCGGCUAACUCCGUGCCAGCAGCCGCGGUAAUACGGAGGAUCCGAGCGUUAUCCGGAUUUAUUGGGUUUAAAGGGAGCGUAGGUGGACUGGUAAGUCAGUUGUGAAAGUUUGCGGCUCAACCGUAAAAUUGCAGUUGAUACUGUCAGUCUUGAGUACAGUAGAGGUGGGCGGAAUUCGUGGUGUAGCGGUGAAAUGCUUAGAUAUCACGAAGAACUCCGAUUGCGAAGGCAGCUCACUGGACUGCAACUGACACUGAUGCUCGAAAGUGUGGGUAUCAAACAGG